AGAAUCAACGCUGGCGGCGUGCCUAACACAUGCAAGUCGCACGGAGAAACGGGGAGCAAUCCCUGGAGUAAAGUGGCGCACGGGUGAGUAACACGUGGAAUAAUCUACCUCCGAGUGGGAAUAACUGAGAGAAAUCUUAGCUAAUACCGCAUAACAACUUACGAGUCAAAGCAGCAAUGCGCUUGGAGAGGAGUUCGCGGCCGAUUAGUUAGUUGGCGGGUAAUGGCCCACAAGCGAUGAUCGGUA
This 246-nucleotide ribosomal RNA is filed under the name uncultured bacterium. RNAcentral's name for it is "partial small subunit ribosomal RNA". It matches the Rfam family "Bacterial small subunit ribosomal RNA", at positions 26 to 285 of the family's 1533-position model. The record is from RNAcentral.